RNAcentral lists this transfer RNA (72 nucleotides) under Elusimicrobiota bacterium. Its description in RNAcentral is "Elusimicrobia bacterium (hot springs metagenome) tRNA-Arg". It matches the Rfam family "tRNA". Rfam says of the family: Transfer RNA (tRNA) molecules are approximately 80 nucleotides in length. Their secondary structure includes four short double-helical elements and three loops (D, anti-codon, and T loops). The record is from RNAcentral. Lineage: Bacteria; Pseudomonadati; Elusimicrobiota.
GCGCUCAUAGCUCAAUGGAUAGAGCAACGGCCUGCGAAGCCGCAGAUUCGGGUUCGAUUCCCGAUGAGCGCA